AUUAGAUUUGAGGGCCUGUCGACGGCCCUGUUAUUUAAUGGAGUUUUCAAGGCCUGCGCCACCAAUAUUUAACAAUGAUGGUUUGUUGGGUGACUUCCUGAAUGAUAAGAAAAAACGCUGGCGGGUCAAAGAAGAUCAGCCCAAAGAAUUAACAUAGUGGGAUGGCCAGGUAGUGUUAUACAAGAUGGUACUGUAUAAAAUUGAGUGUCCGAGGUUGUUCUGCAGACCAACUCGGCUUUUUUGAAUCUUCAUUAAAGUCUAUUUUGGAUUCUCAAGUUCCUGAGUCUUUGCAUGCUUUUUUGCCAGGAAAUCUGAAGUGUUUUCCACGACAUAAUCUUGGCAUUGUCGGCAGAAUUGGCAUCGGGCUGGCUGGCUGUCAGCUGCAGAAGGCGCCGUGGGUCGGGUCGCACAAACAACACGUGGCCACAUUGAGAGGAAAGUGCACGAGUACCAGAACCAGAGGACAACCAGCCCCGAGCAGUGGUGCCAGGAGACCAGGUCUACAUCAGGGUCUUCAGGAGGAGGUGGAACGAGUCGAGACGCGACGGUCCCUUCAGGGUGGUCCAAGCUACGCCGUCAGCGAUACGAGUAGAGAGCAGCAAUACCUGGUACCACCUCAACCACUGCACCAAGGUCUCACGAGGCGCAGAGCAGAGACCACAUGAGGAAGGUGAGGAUGCAGAUGUUCCAAGCAGGGAUGAGCAAGAGGAGGAAGGUGCAGGAUUACCCCUGGGGGCAGCCGAGGAACCUACUACACCGAGGUCGGCGGAGGAACUGGAGUCUCCCGGAGAGGGGACAUCCUGUAGAGGUGUGCGGACUAAUGACGGGCAGUCUGCUGUUGAUCGGCAUAGGGAUAUGGCUGCUGCCAUCUGCCCAAGGAGAGAUGGUACUGGAGAUGAUGGAGGAACACCUCCUAUCGGUGACUCCACUGGGCCAGAAAGCCCAGGAGGAGCCCCUGCGGGUACCAAUGAAAGACCAGGUUUCUCAGCCAUCGGGGAGGAAUUCUCUACCAUCAACCUUGCCGACUUGGGCUGGGAAUGACAUGACGACGCCCCCUACUGACAGUAGCGACUCAGACACUGACCUAGACAGGGGUAUGCACAGCAGCGCUAUUAGCAGGGGUAAUGCCAUUCCGGUUAAGAACUAUAGGGAUAAGGGUACUAGUUCUCAUUGAUACAGAUGAUCUUGGAGAUUGUAACCAGACCGCCUGGCUUGCAAUAAUAAGAGAAGGACGGCGGGGUUGGUCAAUUAGAGCUCGCGGUGAGAAAGGGGUGUGCGGACCCACUGGUAGAGUAAAAGUAGAGUUUGUGAGACAUUUAGUGUUUUCCAGGUAACAGGAAUGCAGUGUGAAUAUGGGGCUAGAAGUAAAAAAACACAAGCUAAACAAAUGUUUGACAAAGAAGCCCCCCAUGCAGCUUUAGUAGAAUACGGUAUGGUAAAGAGGCUAGGAGAAAC
Molecule: long non-coding RNA, 1455 nt
Organism: Esox lucius (northern pike)
Lineage: Eukaryota; Metazoa; Chordata; Actinopteri; Esociformes; Esocidae
Source: Ensembl